GCGAUUAUGGUUCAGAGGUAGAAUUCUCACCUUCCAUGUGGGGAGAUCCAGGUUCGAUUGCUGGCCACUGCA
This 72-nucleotide transfer RNA is filed under the name Loxodonta africana (African savanna elephant). It matches the Rfam family "tRNA". Rfam says of the family: Transfer RNA (tRNA) molecules are approximately 80 nucleotides in length. The record is from Rfam by way of RNAcentral. Lineage: Eukaryota; Metazoa; Chordata; Mammalia; Proboscidea; Elephantidae.